RNAcentral lists this ribosomal RNA (845 nucleotides) under uncultured Bacteroidota bacterium. RNAcentral describes it as "bacterial SSU rRNA". It matches the Rfam family "Bacterial small subunit ribosomal RNA", at positions 37 to 889 of the family's 1533-position model. Lineage: Bacteria; Pseudomonadati; Bacteroidota. The record is from RNAcentral.
AAGUCGCGGCUAUCAUGCAGUCGAAGGAUUCAGGGGCUUCGGUCCCUGGGUUAGUGGCGCACGGGUGCGUAACGCGUAUGCAACCUGCCUUCCACAGGGGGAUAGCCCACCGAAAGGUGGAUUAAUACCGCAUAACACAUUUGGCCGGCAUCGGCUGAUUGUUAAAGCUUCGGCGGUGGAAGAUGGGCAUGCGUGCCAUUAGCUGGUUGGCGGGGUAAAGGCCCACUAAGGCGACGAUGGCUAGGGGUUCUGAGAGGAUGGUCCCCCACACUGGUACUGAGACACGGACCAGACUCCUACGGGAGGCAGCAGUAGGGAAUAUUGGGCAAUGGCCGCGAGGCUGACCCAGCCAUGCCGCGUGCAGGAAGAAGGCCUUCUGGGUUGUAAACUGCUUUUAUAUAGGAAGAAAACGCCCCUGCGGGGGUAACUGACGGUACUAUAUGAAUAAGCACCGGCUAACUCCGUGCCAGCAGCCGCGGUAAUACGGAGGGUGCAAGCGUUGUCCGGAUUUAUUGGGUUUAAAGGGUGCGUAGGCGGCCCGUUAAGUCAGCGGUGAAAUCCCAGGGCUCAACCCUGGAACUGCCGUUGAUACUGGCGGGCUUGAGUUCGGUCGAGGCGGGCGGAACUGGUGGUGUAGCGGUGAAAUGCUUAGAUACCACCAAGAACCCCGAUUGCGUAGGCAGCUCGCUUGGCCGAAACUGACGCUGAGGCACGAAAGCGUGGGGAGCGAACAGGAUUAGAUACCCUGGUAGUCCACGCCGUAAACGAUGAUGACUCGAUGUUGGCGAUACACUGUCAGCGUCCAAGCGAAAGCGUUAAGUCAUCCCCCUGGGGAGUACGCCCGC